UUACUUGAUGUUCCUUAAAAUAUUUCAAUC
RNAcentral lists this non-coding RNA (30 nucleotides) under Mus musculus (house mouse). The record is from RNAcentral. Lineage: Eukaryota; Metazoa; Chordata; Mammalia; Rodentia; Muridae.